This 452-nucleotide ribosomal RNA is filed under the name beta proteobacterium R-39153. RNAcentral's name for it is "bacterial SSU rRNA". It matches the Rfam family "Bacterial small subunit ribosomal RNA", at positions 22 to 476 of the family's 1533-position model. The record is from RNAcentral. Lineage: Bacteria; Pseudomonadati; Pseudomonadota; Betaproteobacteria.
GCUCAGAUUGAACGCUGGCGGCAUGCCUUACACAUGCAAGUCGAACGGUAACAGGUUAAGCUGACGAGUGGCGAACGGGUGAGUAAUAUAUCGGAACGUGCCCAGUCGUGGGGGAUAACUGCUCGAAAGAGCAGCUAAUACCGCAUACGACCUGAGGGUGAAAGCGGGGGAUCGCAAGACCUCGCGCGAUUGGAGCGGCCGAUAUCAGAUUAGCUAGUUGGCGGGGUAAAAGCCCACCAAGGCAACGAUCUGUAGCUGGUCUGAGAGGACGACCAGCCACACUGGGACUGAGACACGGCCCAGACUCCUACGGGAGGCAGCAGUGGGGAAUUUUGGACAAUGGACGCAAGUCUGAUCCAGCCAUGCCGCGUGCGGGAAGAAGGCCUUCGGGUUGUAAACCGCUUUUGUCAGGGAAGAAAAGGGUGUCUUUAAUAAAGACGCCUCAUGACGGU